Humulus lupulus (European hop) is the source of this 872-nucleotide long non-coding RNA. RefSeq lists it as uncharacterized. Lineage: Eukaryota; Viridiplantae; Streptophyta; Magnoliopsida; Rosales; Cannabaceae. The transcript is spliced from 2 exons. The record is from RefSeq and is a predicted model, not a curated record.
UAUUAGAAUAGUAUCCCAAGUUUUUCCUAUAAAUAGCCCUUCCAAAACUCAUCUUGAAAUCACAAAAACCUCAUUUCCUUUCUCUUACUCUACCCAAAAAUAUUCUUAACAUCCUUCUAAAGUUCUAAACCUCGGAGAUCUAGGCGAAGUUCUGUCCAUAACGCUAGCCUACGAAAACCUUUUAGGAAGCUAACAAUUUCGAUUGUUUUAUCAAGACGCAAGAUAAGUAGAAUCCUCAUCUACAAUACAAGUCUUUUAUGUGUCUUAUGUGCAUUUAUAUGCUUUAUAUGUUAUCCUGCCAUGUUCUUAUGCAUAAGUUAUUUUCAAGAAUGUUAUAAUUAUUAUGCAUAAGCAUGCUUAAUGUUCACAGACAAGUUACUGAAAGCGUUAAAGUAGAGGUGCUGCUUGGGAGACCUAAGUCCCAAAUAAGUAAGGAGGGAGAUGUACGUCCCUAUAUAAUGAAUGUUUAUGAGGGAGAAAUUCCCUAUUAUCAUGUUAUGUUCAGGUGGGAAUGUGAUUCCCUAUGUAAUGCCGGCAGCAGCAUCCUCUAGGGCCCAAAAGAAAGGAAAGUGAAAGAAAGAAAAUACAUAGCAUGUUGCAUGUUUAUUUUAAUGCAUAUGAGGUAGUUAUUCUACUUACUGAGCCUUAGCUCAUCAGAUAAUGUUUUGUAUUGUAGGUAAGAGACCCCAAAUAUAAAUUGUUGAUGAGUAUACGUGGAGCCAACAUGACUGUACAUAUGGGGCUGACCUGAAGGGAGUGGAGUUCUGCUAUGCUAUUUUAUAAAUAAACAAGAAACUUGGUUUUAUUAUAUUUCAUUAAAAGUAUUUUGUGAACUUUAUCAUUUACUUAAAGCUUUAAAAGUAUUUCAUGAA